This 230-nucleotide small RNA is filed under the name Cylindrospermum stagnale. RNAcentral's name for it is "c-di-AMP sequence". It matches the Rfam family "c-di-AMP riboswitch aptamer (ydaO/yuaA leader)". Rfam says of the family: This family represents a conserved RNA structure found upstream of the ydaO and yuaA genes in Bacillus subtilis and related genes in other bacteria. The ydaO/yuaA element is thought to act as a genetic "off" switch for the ydaO and yuaA genes in its native state. Lineage: Bacteria; Bacillati; Cyanobacteriota; Cyanophyceae; Nostocales; Nostocaceae. The record is from RNAcentral.
AAUCAGUCUGCCUAAUCCAUCAUUUGCCUUAAAGAUACAUUAUGUAUCAAGGUAAAUCGGGAACGGAGGAACCAGUUCUGGGGCGAAUUUGCUAGAAAGAGAAAGCUAGAGUCAAAAGGAUAACAAUAAUCAAACUUUAUCCUUUCGACUUGGUACUUGAUCUUUUUCCAGAAGGACAUCUCUCAGUCCUAGCCCGUCAGCUAACUUCGUCGGCAUUGAGAGGAGAUUGA